This 460-nucleotide ribosomal RNA is filed under the name uncultured bacterium. RNAcentral's name for it is "partial 16S ribosomal RNA". It matches the Rfam family "Bacterial small subunit ribosomal RNA", at positions 338 to 795 of the family's 1533-position model. The record is from RNAcentral.
CCUACGGGGGGCAGCAGUGAGGAAUAUUGGUCAAUGGGCGCGAGCCUGAACCAGCCAAGUCGCGUGAGGGAUGAAGGUUCUAUGGAUCGUAAACCUCUUUUAUAAGGGAAUAAAGUGUGGGACGUGUCCUAUUUUGUAUGUACCUUAUGAAUAAGGAUCGGCUAACUCCGUGCCAGCAGCCGCGGUAAUACGGAGGAUCCGAGCGUUAUCCGGAUUUAUUGGGUUUAAAGGGUGCGUAGGCGGCCUUUUAAGUCAGGGGUGAAAGUCUGUGGAUCAACCAUAGAAUUGCCGUUGAAAAUGGGGGGCUUGAGUAUGUGUGAGGCAGGCGGAAUGCGUGGUGUAGCGGUGGAAUGCUUAGAUAUCACGCAGAACCCCGAAUGCGAAGGCAGCCUGCCAGGCCAUGACUGACGCUGAUGCACGAAAGCGUGGGGAUCAAACAGGAUUAGAUACCCUUGUAGUC